RNAcentral lists this unclassified non-coding RNA (344 nucleotides) under soil metagenome. RNAcentral describes it as "partial contains 5.8S ribosomal RNA, internal transcribed spacer 2, and large subunit ribosomal RNA". The stretch from base 1 to 118 matches the Rfam family "5.8S ribosomal RNA", at positions 35 to 154 of the family's 154-position model. The record is from RNAcentral.
GAUGAAGAACGUAGCAAAUGCGAUACGUAAUGUGAAUUGCAAAUUCAGUGAAUCAUCGAGUCUUUGAACGCACAUUGCGCCCCCUGGUAUUCCGGGGGGCAUGCCUGUCCGAGCGUCAUUGCUGCCCUCAAGCACGGCUUGUGUGUUGGGCCCCGUCCUCCGAUCCCGGGGGACGGGCCCGAAAGGCAGCGGCGGCACCGCGUCCGGUCCUCGAGCGUAUGGGGCUUUGUCACCCGCUCUGUAGGCCCGGCCGGCGCUUGCCGAUCAACCCAAAUUUUUAUCCAGGUUGACCUCGGAUCAGGUAGGGAUACCCGCUGAACUUAAGCAUAUCAAUAAGCGGAGGA